RNAcentral lists this small RNA (122 nucleotides) under uncultured Photobacterium sp. Its description in RNAcentral is "t44 RNA". It matches the Rfam family "t44 RNA". Rfam says of the family: This family consists of a number of bacterial RNA genes of between 135 and 170 bases in length. The t44 gene is found between the map and rpsB genes in all species in the full alignment apart from Shigella flexneri. Lineage: Bacteria; Pseudomonadati; Pseudomonadota; Gammaproteobacteria; Vibrionales; Vibrionaceae. The record is from RNAcentral.
UUUUAUUUAUUAUUCACACAUAUCGACACAUCUGCCGGGGUGCUCAGUUACUUAUUUUAAGUAACAAUGGCAAUUACGCUGUUAUCGGGUCGGUUUUAAGAUGGGAUAUGUGGACGCCUAAC